Molecule: non-coding RNA, 73 nt
Organism: Canis lupus familiaris (dog)
Lineage: Eukaryota; Metazoa; Chordata; Mammalia; Carnivora; Canidae
Source: Rfam
GCCUGGCUGGCUUAGUUGGUAGAGCAUAUGACUCUUGAUCUUAGGGUUAUGAGUUCGAGACCCACGUUGGGUG